GGUUAAUACCCUGUGUAGAUGACGGUACCGGAAUAAGAAGCACCGGCUAACUACGUGCCAGCAGCCGCGGUAAUACGUAGGGUGCGAGCGUUAAUCGGAAUUACUGGGCGUAAAGCGUGCGCAGGCGGUUUGUUAAGAUAGGCGUGAAAUCCCCGGGCUCAACCUGGGAACUGCGUUUAUGACUGGCAGGCUAGAGUAUGGCAGAGGGGGGUGGAAUUCCACGUGUAGCAGUGAAAUGCGUAGAGAUGUGGAGGAACACCGAUGGCGAAGGCAGCCCCCUGGGCCAAUACUGACGCUCGUGCACGAAAGCGUGGGUAGCAAACAGGAUUAGAUACCCUGGUAGUCCACGCCCUAAACGAUGUCAACUAGGUGUUGGGAGGGUAAAACCUUUUAGUGCCGUAGCUAACA
Molecule: ribosomal RNA, 408 nt
Filed under: Candidatus Accumulibacter phosphatis
Lineage: Bacteria; Pseudomonadati; Pseudomonadota; Betaproteobacteria
Description: bacterial SSU rRNA
Rfam family: Bacterial small subunit ribosomal RNA
Source: RNAcentral